UAAUUAAAUAUUUAUUAAUAUUUAAAAUUAAAUUUUUUUUAUAAGAAAUAUAUUUUAUUUUAUUAUUUAUUAGAAAAAAUUAAUUAUUAUGAUAGUUUAAAGUAUUGUGAAAGAAAAUUUUUUUUUAAAAAAAGAAAAAUUUAUUUUUUGUACCUUGUGCAUCAGGGUUUAUUAAAAUUGAUUAAUUAUUUAAUAAUCUCGAAUUUAAUAGAGCUAAAAAUUUAUUAUUUAUAUUGUAGAAUAAAUAUAUUAAAUAAAUUUUUUGUAAUGAAAUGUUAUUCGUUUUUAAAUAUAUCUAGUUUUUUAAGAAAAAAAUUUAAUUUUAUUAUAAAAAAUAUGAAUUUAAUUUAUUAAUUUAUUAUUAUUUAUAGUGAAUAUUUUUAGGGAUGAGCUUAAAAGUAAAUUUUUAUUUAAAAAUAAAAUUUAUUAAAUAAUUUAGGAUUAUAAAUUUUCAUUAUUUUUAGUAUGUUAUAAUUAAAUUUAAAUUUUUAAUAUUUUUAUUUUUUAUAAAUUUUUUAUUAAAAUAUAAUUUUUAAUAAAAUAAAAUUAGUAAUAAUGAUAAAAUUAGUAUAAAUUAUUGGAUUAAAUAUUUUUUUAAUUUAGGUUAGUAUAAGGAAUUCGGCAAAUAAAUUUUUCACCUGUUUAUUAAAAACAUGUCCUUUUGUUAAAAAUUUAAGGUCUAGCCUGCCCAAUGAUAAAUUCAAUGGCCGCGGUAUUUUGACCGUGCUAAGGUAGCAUAAUCAUUAGUUUUUUAAUUGAAAGCUGGAAUGAAGGGUUGGAUGAAAAAAUUGCUGUCUCAUAUUUAAUUAAUUAGAAUUUUAUUUUUAAGUUAAAAAGCUUAAAUUUUUUUAAAAGACGAGAAGACCCUAUAGAGUUUUAUAAUAUUUUUAUAUUUUAAAUUUGGCAAUAAAAUUUUUAUUUUAAAAAUAUUAUUUAGUUGGGGUGAUUAAAAAAUUUAAUAAACUUUUUUUUUAUUUAAAUAUUAAUUAAUAAAUAAAUGAUCCUAAUUUUUAGAUUAUAAGAAAAAAUUACCUUAGGGAUAACAGCGUAAUUUUAUUUGAGAGUUCAAAUCGAAAAUAGAGAUUGCGACCUCGAUGUUGGAUUAAAGUUUAUAUUUGGUGUAGAAGCUAAAUUAUUAAGUCUGUUCGACUUUUAAAACUUUACAUGAUCUGAGUUUAAACCGGUGUAAGCCAGGUUGGUUUCUAUCUUUAAAUAGUUAAUAUAUUUUAGUACGAAAGGACCAAAUAUAUAGUAAAAUAUUUAAUAUUAAUUAAAAUGG
RNAcentral lists this ribosomal RNA (1279 nucleotides) under Dibolia rugulosa. RNAcentral describes it as "16S ribosomal RNA". The stretch from base 592 to 1279 matches the Rfam family "Archaeal large subunit ribosomal RNA", at positions 1423 to 2862 of the family's 2987-position model. Lineage: Eukaryota; Metazoa; Arthropoda; Insecta; Coleoptera; Chrysomelidae. The record is from RNAcentral.